Molecule: ribosomal RNA, 490 nt
Filed under: uncultured bacterium
Lineage: Bacteria
Description: partial 16S ribosomal RNA
Rfam family: Bacterial small subunit ribosomal RNA
Source: RNAcentral
AAUGAACGCUGGCGGCAUGCCUUACACAUGCAAGUCGAACGGCAGCAUGACCUAGCUUGCUAGGUUGAUGGCGAGUGGCGAACGGGUGAGUAAUGCAUCGGAACGUGCCUUUUAGUGGGGGAUAACGUAGCGAAAGUUACGCUAAUACCGCAUAUUCUCUGAGGAGGAAAGCAGGGGACCUUCGGGCCUUGCGCUAGAAGAGCGGCCGAUGUCGGAUUAGCUAGUUGGUGAGGUAAAGGCUCACCAAGGCAACGAUCCGUAGCGGGUCUGAGAGGAUGAUCCGCCAUACUGGGACUGAGACACGGCCCAGACUCCUACGGGAGGCAGCAGUGGGGAAUUUUGGACAAUGGGCGCAAGCCUGAUCCAGCCAUGCCGCGUGAGUGAAGAAGGCCUUCGGGUUGUAAAGCUCUUUCGGCUGGGAAGAAAUCGCACCCUCUAAUACAGGGUGUGGAUGACGGUACCAGCAUAAGAAGCACCGGCUAACUACGUG